Molecule: non-coding RNA, 46 nt
Organism: Trichobilharzia regenti
Lineage: Eukaryota; Metazoa; Platyhelminthes; Trematoda; Strigeidida; Schistosomatidae
Source: Rfam
GUACUGCUGAAGAGUCCCGAACUGGGACGAAACAGCUGUCCAGUAC